GACGAACGCUGGCGGCGUGCUUAACACAUGCAAGUCGAACGAUGACGCCCGAGCUUGCUCGGUCUGAUUAGUGGCGAACGGGUGAGUAACACGUGAGCAACCUGCCCUUCACUCUGGGAUAACCUCGGGAAAUCGGGGCUAAUACCGGAUAUGAGCUCCUGUCGCAUGGCGGGUGUUGGAAAGUUUUUCGGUGAAGGAUGGGCUCGCGGCCUAUCAGUUUGUUGGUGAGGUAGUGGCUCACCAAGGCGAUGACGGGUAGCCGGCCUGAGGGGGCGACCGGCCACACUGGGACUGAGACACGGCCCAGACUCCUACGGGAGGCAGCAGUGGGGAAUAUUGCACAAUGGGCGAAAGCCUGAUGCAGCGACGCCGCGUGAGGGAUGACGGCCUUCGGGUUGUAAACCUCUUUCAGCAGGGAAGAAGCGAAAGUGACGGUACCUGCAGAAGAAGCGCCGGCUAACUACGUG
RNAcentral lists this ribosomal RNA (467 nucleotides) under uncultured bacterium. RNAcentral describes it as "partial 16S ribosomal RNA". It matches the Rfam family "Bacterial small subunit ribosomal RNA", at positions 28 to 507 of the family's 1533-position model. The record is from RNAcentral.